RNAcentral lists this ribosomal RNA (443 nucleotides) under uncultured bacterium. RNAcentral's name for it is "partial 16S ribosomal RNA". It matches the Rfam family "Bacterial small subunit ribosomal RNA", at positions 338 to 795 of the family's 1533-position model. The record is from RNAcentral.
CCUACGGGUGGCAGCAGUGGGGAAUAUUGGGCAAUGGGCGCAAGCCUGACCCAGCAACGCCGCGUGAAGGAAGAAGGCUUUCGGGUUGUAAACUUCUUUUCUCAGGGACGAAGAAAGUGACGGUCCCUGCGGACUAAGCCACGGCUAACUACGUGCCAGCAGCCGCGGUAAUACGUAGGUGGCAAUCGUUAUCCGGAUUUAUUGGGUGUAAGGGGCGUGUAGGCGGGAGAGAAAGUCAGAGGUGAAAACUCAGGGCUCAACCCUGGGCCUGCAGUUGAAACUGUGGGUCUGGAGUGCUGGAGAGGCAAGCGGAAUGCCGGGUGUAGCGGUGAAAUGCGUAGAUAUACGGAGGAACACCAGUGGCGAAGGCGGAUUGCUGGACAGUAACUGACGCUGAGGCGCGAAAGCGUGGGGAGCAAACAGGAUUAGAUACCCCAGUAGUC